RNAcentral lists this small RNA (581 nucleotides) under Pan troglodytes (chimpanzee). RNAcentral's name for it is "processed transcript". Lineage: Eukaryota; Metazoa; Chordata; Mammalia; Primates; Hominidae. The record is from RNAcentral.
AUACUCGAUUGAGCUCUGAGGAUAAGUUUGUUGGCUUCUAGUGUCCUCCUUGAUUAUCAUCCAAAUUUCACAGUAUUUGGGAAUAUGGGUCAGUACAUAUGUAUUUACAAUAUGCUUUGCUGCCAAUGUGGGACUGCUGUUUGGUGUUGUUUGUACCAUAGCUAUAGUGAUAGGACGCUUCCCAAGAGCAAUGACUGUAAGUAUAAAAAAUAUGAAAGAAAUGGAAUUUAAAGCGAAGACAGAAAUGGACAGUGAAACCCUGCAGCAGGUGAAAAUUAUCUCAAUAAACAACCCACUUGUUUUCCUGAAUGCAAAAAAAUUUUAUACUGAUUUAAUGAACAUAAUCCAAAAGGAAAAUGCCUGUAAUCAGCCACUUGAUGAUAUCAGCAAGUGUGAACAAAACACAUUGCUCAAUUCCCUAUCCAAUGGCAACUGCAAUGAAGAAGCUUCACAGUCCUGCCCUAAUGAGAAGUGUUCUUUAAUCCUGGAUUGCAGUGGAUUUACCUUUUUUGACUCUUCUGGAGUCUCCAUGCUUGUUGAGGUUUACAUGGACUGUAAAGGCAGGAGUGUGGAUGUAUUGU